This 3062-nucleotide ribosomal RNA is filed under the name Listeria monocytogenes. RNAcentral's name for it is "bacterial LSU rRNA". It matches the Rfam family "Bacterial large subunit ribosomal RNA". Lineage: Bacteria; Bacillati; Bacillota; Bacilli; Caryophanales; Listeriaceae. The record is from RNAcentral.
UUGGUUAAGUUAGAAAGGGCGCACGGUGGAUGCCUUGGCACUAGGAGCCGAAGAAGGACGGGACUAACACCGAUAUGCUUUGGGGAGCUGUACGUAAGCGUUGAUCCAGAGAUUUCCGAAUGGGGGAACCCACUAUCUUUAGUCGGAUAGUAUCCUUACGUGAAUACAUAGCGUGAGGAAGGCAGACCCAGGGAACUGAAACAUCUAAGUACCUGGAGGAAGAGAAAGAAAAAUCGAUUUCCUGAGUAGCGGCGAGCGAAACGGAAAGAGCCCAAACCAAGAAGCUUGCUUCUUGGGGUUGUAGGACACUCUAUACGGAGUUACAAAAGAAAGUUAUAAAUGAAGCGGUCUGGAAAGGCCCGCCAAAGACGGUAACAGCCCGGUAGUUGAAAUAGCUUUCCCUCCAGAGUGGAUCCUGAGUACGGCGGAACACGUGAAAUUCCGUCGGAAUCCGGGAGGACCAUCUCCCAAGGCUAAAUACUCCCUAGUGACCGAUAGUGAACCAGUACCGUGAGGGAAAGGUGAAAAGCACCCCGGAAGGGGAGUGAAACAGUUCCUGAAACCGUGUGCCUACAAGUAGUUAGAGCCCGUUAAUGGGUGAUAGCGUGCCUUUUGUAGAAUGAACCGGCGAGUUACGAUUUGUUGCAAGGUUAAGCGGAAAAAGCGGAGCCGUAGCGAAAGCGAGUCUGAAUAGGGCGCAUAAGUAACAGGUCGUAGACCCGAAACCAGGUGAUCUACCCAUGUCCAGGAUGAAGGUAAGGUAAUACUUACUGGAGGUCCGAACCCACGCACGUUGAAAAGUGCGGGGAUGAGGUGUGGGUAGCGGAGAAAUUCCAAUCGAACUUGGAGAUAGCUGGUUCUCUCCGAAAUAGCUUUAGGGCUAGCCUCGAGGUAAAGAGUCAUGGAGGUAGAGCACUGUUUGGACUAGGGGCCCUUCUCGGGUUACCGAAUUCAGAUAAACUCCGAAUGCCAUGUACUUAUACUCGGGAGUCAGACUGCGAGUGAUAAGAUCCGUAGUCGAAAGGGAAACAGCCCAGACCACCAGUUAAGGUCCCCAAAUAUAUGUUAAGUGGAAAAGGAUGUGGGGUUGCUUAGACAACCAGGAUGUUGGCUUAGAAGCAGCCACCAUUGAAAGAGUGCGUAAUAGCUCACUGGUCGAGUGACCCCGCGCCGAAAAUGUACCGGGGCUAAACAUAUUACCGAAACUGUGGAUGAACCUCUUUAGAGGUUCGUGGUAGGAGAGCGUUCUAAGGGCGGUGAAGUCAGACCGGAAGGACUGGUGGAGCGCUUAGAAGUGAGAAUGCCGGUAUGAGUAGCGAAAGAAGGGUGAGAAUCCCUUCCACCGAAUAUCUAAGGUUUCCUGAGGAAGGCUCGUCCGCUUAGGGUUAGUCGGGACCUAAGCCGAGGCCGAUAGGCGUAGGCGAUGGACAACAGGUAGAGAUUCCUGUACCAGUGCUAAUUGUUUAACCGAUGGGGUGACACAGAAGGAUAGGGAAUCGCACGAAUGGAAAUGUGCGUCCAAGCAGUGAGUGUGAGAAGUAGGCAAAUCCGCUUCUCGCGAAGCAUGAGCUGUGAUGGGGAAGGAAAUUAAGUACGGAAGUUCCUGAUUUCACGCUGUCAAGAAAAGCCUCUAGGAAGAGUAGUACUGCCCGUACCGCAAACCGACACAGGUAGAUGAGGAGAGAAUCCUAAGGUGAGCGAGAGAACUCUCGUUAAGGAACUCGGCAAAAUGACCCCGUAACUUCGGGAGAAGGGGUGCUCUAUUAGGGUGCAAGCCCGAGAGAGCCGCAGUGAAUAGGCCCAGGCGACUGUUUAGCAAAAACACAGGUCUCUGCAAAACCGUAAGGUGACGUAUAGGGGCUGACGCCUGCCCGGUGCUGGAAGGUUAAGAGGAGUGCUUAGCUUCGGCGAAGGUACGAAUUGAAGCCCCAGUAAACGGCGGCCGUAACUAUAACGGUCCUAAGGUAGCGAAAUUCCUUGUCGGGUAAGUUCCGACCCGCACGAAAGGCGCAACGAUCUGGGCACUGUCUCAACGAGAGACUCGGUGAAAUUAUAGUACCUGUGAAGAUGCAGGUUACCCGCGACAGGACGGAAAGACCCCGUGGAGCUUUACUGCAACCUGAUAUGGAAUGUUUGUACCGCUUGUACAGGAUAGGUAGGAGCCGAAGAGACGUGUGCGCUAGCAUACGAGGAGGCAAUGGUGGGAUACUACCCUGGCUGUAUGACCAUUCUAACCCGCCACGCUUAGCGCGUGGGGAGACAGUGUCAGGUGGGCAGUUUGACUGGGGCGGUCGCCUCCUAAAGAGUAACGGAGGCGCCCAAAGGUUCCCUCAGAAUGGAUGGAAAUCAUUCGCAGAGUGUAAAGGCACAAGGGAGCUUGACUGCGAGACUGACAAGUCGAGCAGGGACGAAAGUCGGGCUUAGUGAUCCGGUGGNGGAGGCGCCCAAAGGUUCCCUCAGAAUGGAUGGAAAUCAUUCGCAGAGUGUAAAGGCACAAGGGAGCUUGACUGCGAGACUGACAAGUCGAGCAGGGACGAAAGUCGGGCUUAGUGAUCCGGUGGUUCCGCAUGGAAGGGCCAUCGCUCAACGGAUAAAAGCUACCCCGGGGAUAACAGGCUUAUCUCCCCCAAGAGUCCACAUCGACGGGGAGGUUUGGCACCUCGAUGUCGGCUCGUCGCAUCCUGGGGCUGUAGUCGGUCCCAAGGGUUGGGCUGUUCGCCCAUUAAAGCGGCACGCGAGCUGGGUUCAGAACGUCGUGAGACAGUUCGGUCCCUAUCCGUCGCGGGCGCAGGAAAUUUGAGAGGAGCUGUCCUUAGUACGAGAGGACCGGGAUGGACACACCGCUGGUGUACCAGUUGUUCCGCCAGGAGCAUCGCUGGGUAGCUAUGUGUGGCAGGGAUAAACGCUGAAAGCAUCUAAGCGUGAAGCCCCCCUCAAGAUGAGAUUUCCCAUUUCUUCGGAAAGUAAGAUCCCUGAAAGAUGAUCAGGUAGAUAGGUUUGGAGUGGAAGUGUAGCGAUACAUGGAGCGGACAAAUACUAAUCGAUCGAGGACUUAACCAAAA